GGGGACGUAGCUCAACUGGGAGAGCACCACGCUGGCAGCGUGGGGGUCGGGGGUUCGAAUCCCCUCGUCUCCA
Molecule: transfer RNA, 73 nt
Filed under: Candidatus Omnitrophota bacterium
Lineage: Bacteria; Pseudomonadati; Candidatus Omnitrophota
Description: Candidatus Omnitrophica bacterium tRNA-Ala
Rfam family: tRNA
About the family: Transfer RNA (tRNA) molecules are approximately 80 nucleotides in length. Their secondary structure includes four short double-helical elements and three loops (D, anti-codon, and T loops).
Source: RNAcentral